RNAcentral lists this long non-coding RNA (257 nucleotides) under Mus spicilegus (steppe mouse). RNAcentral describes it as "lncRNA (ENSMSIG00000001912.1)". The record is from RNAcentral. Lineage: Eukaryota; Metazoa; Chordata; Mammalia; Rodentia; Muridae.
UUUCUGUCUCUUCCACCAGGGGCUUCAGACUACAUGAGCUUGUUAUUUCAGCAGUCCCCUUUCUGGACUCUGAAGCUCGCAGCCCAACAUCAAGGCUUUGCAUAUUGGAUCUAAGUGGCAUUGGCAAUGUAUCUCUGCAUGUUGGCUGUUACCUCCAUAAGGUGAAAAAAAUUGAAAUGAACCAAGAAUGAGGAUUCUACUUGUAAAAAACUGAAAAUAUGAAUAAAUUUAGCAAGAUUAUUGUUAAGUUGUGACUU